GAUGAACGCUGGCGGCGUGCCUAAUACAUGCAAGUCGAGCGAACAGACGAGGAGCUUGCUCCUCUGACGUUAGCGGCGGACGGGUGAGUAACACGUGGAUAACCUACCUAUAAGACUGGGAUAACUUCGGGAAACCGGAGCUAAUACCGGAUAAUAUAUUGAACCGCAUGGUUCAAUAGUGAAAGACGGUUUUGCUGUCACUUAUAGAUGGAUCCGCGCCGCAUUAGCUAGUUGGUAAGGUAACGGCUUACCAAGGCGACGAUGCGUAGCCGACCUGAGAGGGGGAUCGCCCACACGGGAACUGAGACACGGUCCAGACUCCUACGGGAGGCAGCAGUAGGGAAUCUUCCGCAAUGGGCGAAAGCCUGACGGAGCAACGCGGCGUGAGUGAUGAAGGUCUUCGGAUCGUAAAACUCUGUUAUUAGGGAAGAACAAAGGGGUAAGUAACUAUGCACGUCUUGACGGUACCUAAUCAGAAAGCCACGGCUAACUACGUG
RNAcentral lists this ribosomal RNA (497 nucleotides) under uncultured bacterium. Its description in RNAcentral is "partial 16S ribosomal RNA". It matches the Rfam family "Bacterial small subunit ribosomal RNA", at positions 28 to 507 of the family's 1533-position model. The record is from RNAcentral.